GUAGUAGCCGGCUUGCUGGCGAUGCCGUCGGAACAGUCGUCAUCAAUGUUGCCUGACAAACCGCUAUCGCCAGCAAGCCGGCUCCUAC
Molecule: unclassified non-coding RNA, 88 nt
Filed under: Pseudomonas migulae
Lineage: Bacteria; Pseudomonadati; Pseudomonadota; Gammaproteobacteria; Pseudomonadales; Pseudomonadaceae
Source: RNAcentral